RNAcentral lists this ribosomal RNA (628 nucleotides) under Escherichia coli. RNAcentral's name for it is "partial 23S ribosomal RNA". It matches the Rfam family "Bacterial large subunit ribosomal RNA", at positions 2137 to 2764 of the family's 2925-position model. Lineage: Bacteria; Pseudomonadati; Pseudomonadota; Gammaproteobacteria; Enterobacterales; Enterobacteriaceae. The record is from RNAcentral.
UGUAGGAUAGGUGGGAGGCUUUGAAGUGUGGACGCCAGUCUGCAUGGAGCCGACCUUGAAAUACCACCCUUUAAUGUUUGAUGUUCUAACGUGGACCCGUGAUCCGGGUUGCGGACAGUGUCUGGUGGGUAGUUUGACUGGGGCGGUCUCCUCCUAAAGAGUAACGGAGGAGCACGAAGGUUGGCUAAUCCUGGUCGGACAUCAGGAGGUUAGUGCAAUGGCAUAAGCCAGCUUGACUGCGAGCGUGACGGCGCGAGCAGGUGCGAAAGCAGGUCAUAGUGAUCCGGUGGUUCUGAAUGGAAGGGCCAUCGCUCAACGGAUAAAAGGUACUCCGGGGAUAACAGGCUGAUACCGCCCAAGAGUUCAUAUCGACGGCGGUGUUUGGCACCUCGAUGUCGGCUCAUCACAUCCUGGGGCUGAAGUAGGUCCCAAGGGUAUGGCUGUUCGCCAUUUAAAGUGGUACGCGAGCUGGGUUUAGAACGUCGUGAGACAGUUCGGUCCCUAUCUGCCGUGGGCGCUGGAGAACUGAGGGGGGCUGCUCCUAGUACGAGAGGACCGGAGUGGACGCAUCACUGGUGUUCGGGUUGUCAUGCCAAUGGCACUGCCCGGUAGCUAAAUGCGGAAGAGA